UACGGAGGGAGCUAGCGUUGUUCGGAAUUACUGGGCGUAAAGCGCACGUAGGCGGCUUUGUAAGUUAGAGGUGAAAGCCCGGGGCUCAACUCCGGAACUGCCUUUAAAACUGCAUCGCUUGAAUCCAGGAGAGGUGAGUGGAAUUCCGAGUGUAGAGGUGAAAUUCGUAGAUAUUCGGAAGAACACCAGUGGCGAAGGCGGCUCACUGGACUGGUAUUGACGCUGAGGUGCGAAAGCGUGGGGAGCAAACCGG
Molecule: ribosomal RNA, 253 nt
Filed under: uncultured bacterium
Lineage: Bacteria
Description: partial 16S ribosomal RNA
Rfam family: Bacterial small subunit ribosomal RNA
Source: RNAcentral